Molecule: long non-coding RNA, 1679 nt
Filed under: Homo sapiens (human)
Lineage: Eukaryota; Metazoa; Chordata; Mammalia; Primates; Hominidae
Source: RNAcentral
GCAGGUCCUGGGUAGAGUCCAGGUUGGCGGUUCCUGGGGCAGGGCCAGGAUAGGGCGAUCCUGGAAGCUGGGCUUCGGAAGCGUCCAGCUGUUGUUCCCCACCAGAACCAAAUGAGCGCAAGAUCUGACAAAGAAAAAAAAAGGUUCAUCUUUUAUUCCUCCAAACACUUUCAUUUAAAUCAAGAGGAUGGGAUGUGGUUAUUGCUGUGUUUUUAGACAGAAUCAACGGUUUCUGGGUCUGAGAUGUUGCAUACACCUUCUCAGUCCCUGUAUCCUGAGAUGGAGUCACCUGAGAAUCCACAGCAAGUCCUAACCAGGGAUGGGUCUGGGUGAUUAAGGAAGGUUGGCUUCAGAACUGGGCCAGGGGCACUGCUUUGCUUUUGCUGUUUUGAUCAGCUCUCUGCCUGAAGGAGACAAGAAAAACCAACGGGAACAGAUAGGGUCUCUCUCUCUGCCACCCAGGCCAGAGUGCAGUUGACGCAGGGCAGGGGAGCCCCGAAGUGGAGCAUAGUGUGUCCGGAACUGGUGGGUUCUUGGUCUCACUGACUUCAAGAAAGAAGCCGCGGACCCUCGCGAAACUCCUGGAGGGCAGAGGCAUGCCUGCCAUCUUCAUCAUUGCAUUACCACCACCCAACACUAUCGGGGGACCUGCCCUGAUAAUCAGUCUACAGGUGUAUCCAGCAGCUCCAGAGAGACAGCGACCAGCGAGAAGGGGCCAUGAUGAUGGAGGUGGUUUUGUCAAAACGAAAAUGGGGAUAUGUAGGGAAAAGAAAGAGAGAUCAGACUGUUACUGUGUCUACAUAGAAAGGGAAGACAUAAGAGACUCCAUUUUGAAAAAGACCUGUACUUUAAACAAUUGCUUUGCUGAGAUGUUGUUAAUCUGUAGCUUUGCCCCAGCCACUUUGCCCCAACCACUUUGACCCAAUCUGGAGCUCAUAAAAACAUGUGUUGUAUGAAAUCAAGGUUUAAGGCAUGUAGGGCUGUGCAGGACGUGCCUUGUUAACCAAAUGUUUGCAAGCAGUAUACUUGGUAAAAGUCAUCACCAUUCUCUCAUCUCAAUAAACCAGGGGCACAAUGCACUGUGGAAAGCCGCAGGGACCUCUGCCCUUGAAAGCUGGGUAUUGUCCAAAGUUCCUCCCCAUGUGAUAGUCUGAAAUAUGGCCUCGUGGGAUGAGAAAGACCUGACGGUCCCCCAGCGCGACACCCAUAAAAGAUCUGUGCUGAGGUGGAUUAGUCAAAGAGGAAAGACUUGCAGUUGAGAUAGAGGAAGGCCACUGUCUCCUGACUGCCCCUGGGAACUGAAUGUCUCGGUAUAAAACACGAUUGUACAUUUGUUCAGUUCUGAGAUGGGAGAAAAACCGCCCUAUGGUGGGAGGCGAGACAUGUUUACAGCAAUGCUGCCUUGUUAUCCUUUACUCCACUGAGAUGUCUGGGUGGAGAGAAACAUAAAUCUGGCUUACAUGCACGUCCAGUCAUAGUACCUUCCCUUGAACUUCAUUAUGACAUGGAUUCUAUUGCUCACGUUUGUUGCUGACCUUCUCCUUAUUAUCACCCUGCCCUCCUACUACAUUCCUUUUUGCUGAAAUAAUGAAGAUAAUAAUCAAUAAAAACUGAGGGAAUUCAGAGACCUGUGCCAGUGCAGGUCCUUAGCAUGCUAAGCGCCGGUCCCCUGGGCCCGC